Molecule: long non-coding RNA, 1103 nt
Organism: Polypterus senegalus (gray bichir)
Lineage: Eukaryota; Metazoa; Chordata; Cladistia; Polypteriformes; Polypteridae
Exons: 3
Source: RefSeq, a predicted model, not a curated record
GCUGAAGCAUUUCACCCACAACUUUCAAUAUGUGUAAGUGAGAAUGCGUCGAUGUGUCCAGUAUGUCCCUGCUAAAUAUAAGGGUUCACUUCAGCAUCUGACAGCCGCCAAACUCUGACUCUUUGAGACACAUUUAUUCUACGGUCUCUGGCUGCCUCCUGCCCUGCGUGGCAAGGGAAUCAUGUCUCAAACGUCUGCCAAGUGCAAGUGAAAACAGCAAAGGGAGACUUGGCACUCAUAGGUGGUACAACAGAUGGGUGGGUGUCAAUGGCCAAAAACAGGAAGGAAAACAAGAAGAAAUAGACUGUCUGCAAAACCUGAAAACACCACGGGGGAGAAAAUCAAACAAAAGGGCGACAGUUUACUUAGGAAGCUGCCCACUGUGUACAUAAGUUAAUGCCAGGUGAGGUGUGGGAGGCUAUUAUGAUACAAAAGAAGUAAGUACAUGUGACUGAGUGAUGGUCCACUGAAUCAAGGUGGCCUUAUUGUCAACCUAAUGGCAUCUCUUUAGACUACGGGAGAACAGUGGGGACCCCAAGGGAAAGCUAACUGAAUACGGGACAUGGUGAACAUGCACACUCCCCACAGACAGAUGAGGUGACAAUGCUGCAUCACGUUUAGAUUUUCUUAGUCCUGCCUGAGACAUCGCUGGUGUACAGUUUGCUGAGGAGCACAUCCAAUUGAUGUGUUUAUGAACAAUGAGUCAACGACCAACAAAGAAAUAAAAUGCAAGUGAAGCCCUGGCUGAAAUAAUGAAGGAGUUGUUGGAUUUUGAUACAUCAGACAACUCAAAUGAAGAGGACAAUGAUGAUGGAAGUGACACUGUGUCAAGUAUGAGGAAACAAAAAUUGAUGAUGAAACAGCCCCGUAGAGAUGCAGCAAAUGUAGCUAAGACGCAACGCUGUCACAUGUGCCCAAAGGCAAAAAAGAGAAAGAUAAAGUCCGCUUGCUCCCAGUGCAAACUUCCGGUUUGCCAAGAACAUUCAGUUGAGGCAGAUUCUGAGUAACUGUUCUGUAUGCGAAUCAGAUGUGUAACUGACAUCUUGUUUUAGUGCUACUAUGACUAUUUUGUAUGAUUUGGUGAACACUAAACAUGCAUUACU